This 744-nucleotide ribosomal RNA is filed under the name uncultured bacterium. RNAcentral's name for it is "bacterial SSU rRNA". It matches the Rfam family "Bacterial small subunit ribosomal RNA", at positions 8 to 796 of the family's 1533-position model. The record is from RNAcentral.
AGAGUUUGAUCAUGGCUCAGAGCGAACGCUGGCGGCAGGCUUAACACAUGCAAGUCGAGCGGGCGUAGCAAUACGUCAGCGGCAGACGGGUGAGUAACGCGUGGGAACAUACCUCUUGGUUCGGAACAACACAGGGAAACUUGUGCUAAUACCGGAUAAGCCCUUACGGGGAAAGAUUUAUCGCCGAGAGAUUGGCCCGCGUCUGAUUAGCUAGUUGGUAGGGUAAUGGCCUACCAAGGCGACGAUCAGUAGCUGGUCUGAGAGGAUGAUCAGCCACAUUGGGACUGAGACACGGCCCAAACUCCUACGGGAGGCAGCAGUGGGGAAUAUUGGACAAUGGGGGCAACCCUGAUCCAGCCAUGCCGCGUGAGUGAUGAAGGCCCUAGGGUUGUAAAGCUCUUUUGUGCGGGAAGAUAAUGGCGGUACCGCAAGAAUAAGCCCCGGCUAACUUCGUGCCAGCAGCCGCGGUAAUACGAAGGGGGCUAGCGUUGCUCGGAAUCACUGGGCGUAAAGGGUGCGUAGGCGGGUUUUUAAGUCAGGGGUGAAAUCCUGGAGCUCAACUCCAGAACUGCCUUUGAUACUGAAGAUCUUGAGUCCGGGAGAGGUGAGUGGAACUGCGAGUGUAGAGGUGAAAUUCGUAGAUAUUCGCAAGAACACCAGUGGCGAAGGCGGCUCACUGGCCCGGUACUGACGCUGAGGCACGAAAGCGUGGGGAGCAAACAGGAUUAGAUACCCUAGUAGUCC